This 464-nucleotide ribosomal RNA is filed under the name uncultured bacterium. RNAcentral's name for it is "bacterial SSU rRNA". It matches the Rfam family "Bacterial small subunit ribosomal RNA", at positions 331 to 793 of the family's 1533-position model. The record is from RNAcentral.
CCAGACUCCUACGGGAGGCAGCAGUGAGGAAUAUUGGUCAAUGGGCUUACGCCUGAACCGGCCAAGUCGCGUGAGGGAAGACGGCCCUAUGGGUUGUAAACCUCUUUUGUCGGAGAACAAAACCCGGGACGAGUCCCGGACUGCGUGUAUCCGAAGAAAAAGCAUCGGCUAACUCCGUGCCAGCAGCCGCGGUAAUACGGAGGAUGCGAGCGUUAUCCGGAUUUAUUGGGUUUAAAGGGUGCGUAGGCGGGAUGCCAAGUCAGCGGUAAAAAUGCGGUGCUCAACGCCGUCGAGCCGUUGAAACUGGUUUUCUUGAGUGAGUGAGAAGUAUGCGGAAUGCGUGGUGUAGCGGUGAAAUGCAUAGAUAUCACGCAGAACUCCGAUUGCGAAGGCAGCAUACCGGCGCUCAACUGACGCUCAUGCACGAAAGUGUGGGUAUCGAACAGGAUUAGAUACCCUCGUAC